RNAcentral lists this ribosomal RNA (506 nucleotides) under uncultured bacterium. RNAcentral's name for it is "bacterial SSU rRNA". It matches the Rfam family "Bacterial small subunit ribosomal RNA", at positions 501 to 1009 of the family's 1533-position model. The record is from RNAcentral.
CUACGUGCCAGCAGCCGCGGUAAUACGGAAGGUUCGGGCGUUAUCCGGAUUUAUUGGGUUUAAAGGGAGCGUAGGCCGGAGAUUAAGUGUGUUGUGAAAUGUAGACGCUCAACGUCUGACUUGCAGCGCAUACUGGUUUCCUUGAGUACGCACAACGUUGGCGGAAUUCGUCGUGUAGCGGUGAAAUGCUUAGAUAUGACGAAGAACCCCGAUUGCGAAGGCAGCCGGCGGGAGCGCAACUGACGCUGAAGCUCGAAGGUGCGGGUAUCGAACAGGAUUAGAUACCCUGGUAGUCCGCACGGUAAACGAUGGAUGCCCGCUGUCGGCGCCUUGCGCCGGCGGCCAAGCGAAAGCGUUAAGCAUCCCACCUGGGGAGUACGCCGGCAACGGUGAAACUCAAAGGAAUUGACGGGGGCCCGCACAAGCGGAGGAACAUGUGGUUUAAUUCGAUGAUACGCGAGGAACCUUACCCGGGCUUGAACUAACGGUGACGAAUCUAGAGAUAG